AUUAUAAUUUAUAAGUUAAAUUAAUUUUUUUAUUGGUUUUUGUGCCUUUUGCAUCAUGCUUGAUGGAUUUAGUAAAUUAUUUUAUUAAUCGAAUAAUUCAGAUCUUAUUAUUAGUAGUUGAGAAUGGUUAUUUAAUCUAGGUAAGGUUAUUAAAAUUGAUAUUAAGAAGUGAUAAAUUAUACGUUGAAUUUUAUAUCUAUUUAGCUAUAUAAUAAUAAAUUGUUAUAUAAUAGGUUAAGAGAUCUAUUAUUAGGUUAUACAAUAUUUAUUAAAUUUUUGUAAAAUUAGGUUAAAAGUACCUAUUUUUUAUAAGUUUGUUAAAAAUUUAAUUGUUUUGUGUUUAUGUUAAAUAAUAUAAUAGCUUAUAAUAAUAAUAAUUAGUUACUUAUAUAUCAUCAAAUAAGUAAUAUCAUUACACAAAUUAUUUCUCGAAUCUUUUCCGUCUGUUUAUUAAAAACAUUUCCAAUUUUAAGUUUAGUUGGUAGUGCCUGCCCAAUGUUUUUAUUAAUGGCCGCAGUAUAUUGACUGUGCGAAGGUAGCAUAAUUAAUUGCCUUUUAAUUGGGGGCUUGUUUGAAUGGUUUGACGUGAUAAGUUUUAAUAUUUGGUGUUUUUAUGAAAUUAGUUUUGAGGGUUCAGAAUCCUCAUUUUUUUAAUUAGACGGAAAGACCCUGGGAUCUUUAUUUUUUGCUUGGGGUAAGUUUUAUUUUUUUAAUAAAAUUUAGACCCUAUAGUGUUGGUUUAGUGGGUUAAGUUACCCCAGGGAUAACAGUGUAAUAAUUAAUAAGAGAUCAUAUCGAAUUGAUUGUUUGCCACCUCGAUGUUGACUUAGGUUUUGGCCCUGGUGCAGUAAUUUGGGUUUGUGGUCUGUUCGACCUUAAAAUCUCCAUGAGUUGAGUUAAGACCGGCGUAAGCCAGGUCGGUUCUUAUCUAUUAUAGAAAUUUAUCAGUACGAAAGGACAGUAAAUUUUUUUGUU
This 975-nucleotide ribosomal RNA is filed under the name Taenia laticollis. Its description in RNAcentral is "large subunit ribosomal RNA". The stretch from base 652 to 934 matches the Rfam family "Archaeal large subunit ribosomal RNA", at positions 2150 to 2716 of the family's 2987-position model. The record is from RNAcentral. Lineage: Eukaryota; Metazoa; Platyhelminthes; Cestoda; Cyclophyllidea; Taeniidae.